AGAGUUUGAUCCUGGCUCAGGAUGAACGCUGGCGGCGUGCCUAAUACAUGCAAGUCGAACGAGGUGCUUUUGUAGCAAUACGAGAGUAUCCUAGUGGCGAACGGGUGAGUAACGCGUUGGUGACCUACCCCAAAGUGUGGGAUAACAGUCCGAAAGGAUUGGCUAAUACCGCAUGUGGGUCAUUGGGUUUAAAAAACUUGAUGACUUAAAGGGAGCAAUUCCCUUUUGGGAGGGGACCUGCGGUCCCCUUCCACUAAUUGGGGGAGGGAAAUGGCUUCCCCCAGGGUUACAACGGGGAAGGGGACCUGAAAAGGGGGACCCCCCCCCAAUGGGACUGAAAAAAGGGCCAUACACCUACGGGUGGGAGCCAUAGGGAAAAUUGGACAAUGGGGGAAAACCUGAUGGGCAACCCCCCCUGGGGGAAGAAAGGCUUCCGGGCCUAAAGCACUUUUUUUUUAGAUGAAAAAGGACAGUAUCGCAGAAUAAGUCUCGGCUAAUACUUGCCGCAGCCCCGGUAAAACUAAGAAGGGGACGUAUCCUGAUUUACUGGGGCUAAACCCGUGCCGUGGGUUCGUAAAUUGGCGUGAAAUCUCCCCGCUCACUGGGAGAGGUCGUCCCUACUCCCGACCUUUGAGAAGAAAAGAAGAUGGAAUUCCCGGUGUAUGGUGAAAUGCGUAGAUAUCGGGAGGAACACACAUGCGAAGGGCAACUUCUGUUCUGUUUUUUGACCUCCCACCCCGCCAGCUAUGUAUUAACGGGAUUGAGAGCCCCCUGUAAUCUAACCGUAACGAAUGUGAAUGUGGCGGUGGGUGGGUUAAACCUCCCACCGGGGCAGAAAGCAAAACGUAAAUAUUCUCACCCCCGGGGGGAUUCGGCCCCCAAGGUUAAAAUUAAAGGGAUUGGGGGGGCCCCCCACAAGCAGGGGGGGGUUUGUUUAAUUGGAUGUACAGGAAGACCUUCCCCCGGGCUUGACAUACGGGGGGGGGGGUUCAAAAGGUGCCCGCCCCCCAAGGGACCCUAAACCGGUUUUCCAGGGUUUUCUUCAGUUUGUUUCGGAAAAUUUUGGUUAAAUUCGGUAAAGGGGGGGCAACCCUUGUUGGGGUUUUAUUAUGUGCCACGGGGGCCCCCCGGUUUUAAACCGGGAGGAAAGGGGGGGGAUGACUUCAAUUCACCAUGCCCUUUUAUCCCGGGGGCUACCCCCCCGCUUCAAAUGGCCAGUCAAAGGGGUGGUUAACCCGGGAGGGGGAGCCCAUUCCCCCCAAAACCUGUCCUCAGGUUCAGAUUGCAGGGUGCCAACUCGCCUGCAUGAAGCCGGAGUUGCUAGUAAACGCGCGUCAGCUAUAGUGCGUUGAAUACGUUCUCGGGCCUUGUACACACCGCCCGUCACGUCAUGGGAGCUGGUAACACCUGAAGCCGGUAGCCUAACCGCAAGGAGGGCGCCGUCGAAGGUGGGGCUGGUGACUGGGACGAAGUCGUAACAAGGUAACC
Molecule: ribosomal RNA, 1488 nt
Filed under: uncultured bacterium
Lineage: Bacteria
Description: partial 16S ribosomal RNA
Rfam family: Bacterial small subunit ribosomal RNA
Source: RNAcentral